UCCAACUGACAGUUGGAGUCGGCCGUUUUGGGGAUUUUAUAUAAAAACCGUUUUUGCUAGAAUUCGUUUUUAUAUUCCUGACGAGGUCCAGUUACGGAAUUUAAAAGUUUUUUUAUUACUGACCUAGCCGUGGUAUUAAUUGUUUCAGUGCAUGAGACAACUUUCUCCAUUUUUGCAGUGAAGUCAGCGGACAUUCGGAAAUUCAGACAUUCAAAUUUCCCAAACAAAUUCAAUUUUACCCCCUCAAAAUGGCACAGCCAAUCACAGCGCAGUACGCGUGACGCCAGGAAAACGUGGAGGGGGUGGCUGAUUGGUUUCUACUAGUACACAUUUCUCUUUUUAGAGUAAUGUAAUGGUAUAAGAAGCAAUGGAGAAAUUCAGUCAAGUGGACGAGAGUAUCGGUGAAUUUUUUAAUUUAUGAUUAUUUUAAAAAAAACUGUCAAUUGGGUGUAAAAUAACGCAUCUUUAUCUCUUUAGAUUAAUGGAACGCAUAUGAAAUUAUGGAGAAAUUUUACCAAGUGGAUGAGAAUAUCGAAUAUUGGAAUGGCAUAAAAAGCCAGAGAAUUUAGCCAAGCGGACAAGAACGUCGAUUAAUUGGAUGACUUUGAAACCAAAGGAUAAUUCCACCAAUUGAACGAGAAGAUCGG
Long non-coding RNA from Photinus pyralis (common eastern firefly), 647 nucleotides. RefSeq lists it as uncharacterized. The transcript is spliced from 3 exons. NCBI's taxonomy places the organism in Eukaryota, Metazoa, Arthropoda, Insecta, Coleoptera, Lampyridae. The record is from RefSeq and is a predicted model, not a curated record.